Molecule: non-coding RNA, 255 nt
Filed under: Bacteroidales bacterium
Lineage: Bacteria; Pseudomonadati; Bacteroidota; Bacteroidia; Bacteroidales
Source: RNAcentral
UUACCUUUGCGGUAUCAAAAUUUAUGGUGCAUCAGGCAAGAGUGCCGGUGACGCCAACGGAAGUCCGGUGAGAAUCCGGCACAGUUCCCGCUGCUGUAAUUUCUUCUUUGUCACUCCGCUUUCACGGCUGCUGUAUGCUGUCGUCGGGCGAGGGCAAUUAAAAAAGGGUGCGACAAUAUGUCAUUGGCCUACGGGCUGAGAAGGCGACGCUUCCCCGGAAUAAGUCAGAAGACGAAUUUUGAUAUUUGUCACGAC